GACGAACGCUGGCGGCGUGCCUAAUACAUGCAAGUCGAGCGGACUUUCAAGAAGCUUGCUUUUUGAAAGUUAGCGGCGGACGGGUGAGUAACACGUGGGCAACCUGCCUGCAAGACGGGGAUAACUCCGGGAAACCGGGGCUAAUACCGGAUAAUAUCUUCCUUCGCAUGAAGGAAGGUUGAAAGGCGGCGCAAGCUGCCGCUUGCAGAUGGGCCCGCGGCGCAUUAGCUAGUUGGUGAGGUAACGGCUCACCAAGGCGACGAUGCGUAGCCGACCUGAGAGGGUGAUCGGCCACACUGGGACUGAAACACGGCCCAGACUCCUACGGGAGGCAGCAGGAGGGAAUCUUCCCAAAGGGACGAAAGUCUGACGGAGCAACGCCGGGGGGGGGAAGAAGUUCUUCGGAUCUUAAAGCUUUUUUGUCAGGGAAGAACAAGUACCGUUCGAACAGGGCGGUACCUUGACGGUACCUGACCAAAAAGCCACGGCUAACUACGU
RNAcentral lists this ribosomal RNA (498 nucleotides) under uncultured bacterium. Its description in RNAcentral is "partial 16S ribosomal RNA". It matches the Rfam family "Bacterial small subunit ribosomal RNA", at positions 28 to 506 of the family's 1533-position model. The record is from RNAcentral.